GUUUGGUUGAUGCAUAUAUCCAGGGCAGGGAGGCAGAGUAUUGGAUGUAAACUGGGCAUCUUCUUUUCUUUUCUUUUUUUUAUUUUUUUUGUAGUAGAGAAAGAAUUCACAUUGGAUUUACUGCUUAAGACCUAGAAAGUAGCCACAGCUGAAAAUCCCCAAAAGAGGUAGGUGCCCAUGUUCACCUAGCUCUGCUUCAGCAACCACUGUUUUUCGUAAAUUCAGUAAUCCUACUGCUGCAGUGUUACUCCUUUUUUUUGUGUAAUGAAAAUGUUGGUUUUUUUUUUGUUUUCAACUAGGAUGUUGUUGGAUAUUAAAUAUUUUCACAUGCUCAGAAAACCAGGAGAAAAAAGUAAAGAAAUCCACUGAGAACUAUGAAAUACAAUAGUCACCUGGAGAUCCCUGAGGUAUUGGGAAGAAGGGGUUGUUGGAGCUUGAAAUUUGAAGCAGAAUUUGACAAGGCGAACAUAUACGCAGAAAAUGAGACAAAUAAUUACAUGAACUACUCUGUGCCUGAGCACAAGACUCUUCAAUUAAGGGGUUUGUGCCCAUGCUUAACUAAAGAUGUGCAUUUACCUCAUCUUUUACAGGUAAGAAUCUCAAGUACACUCUCCUCUGUUAGACUGCACAGCCAUCAUUUCAUUCGGUGCGCAUGAAAUUUUGGCUGGUUCUUUCUGGAUGAGAACAAUUAAUUGCAGCUCUGAUUUUGUCAGCUUGUAGGACUUUGUGGGUAAGUAUGAUACUUCAUUUUUUAUCUCUUCUAGAACAUUGCAGGCAAUCAGUCUUGAGGAGUUCAGCUUAGUGUGAACGUAGGGCAAGUGUAAAUCACCAGGGAACAGUGGAGGAUUUAAAAUAUGGGUCCUCUAUUUUCCAUAAAAUUGGUAUCCAUUUAUAGAUAUUUUCUAGCAGCGAUAUUUUGUCCUUAGCCAAAUGUGUAAGUAAAGAAAGAUUUCGGCGUCAGAUUCUGAUUUGUCAGACUCUGAAUGCAUGAAUCUGUGGAGAAGCAAAUGCCCACAUUAUCUGCUAUUCUUUCCCACAUCAAUAUUGAUCUGUCCAAGACAGGGUCAUAAUACAGCCUACCCACAUCAAUAUUGAUCUGUCCAAGACAGGGUCAUAAUACAGCCUAAAUCAUCUGGGAAUUCAGGUCAUAGGUUCAACACAGCAUAGCACAUAUGCACUUCUGGUUUGGUAAAAUUAAUAAACCUCUGUGUGUGCAAGUUAAUAAAAAUUAA
Molecule: long non-coding RNA, 1232 nt
Filed under: Cyanistes caeruleus (blue tit)
Lineage: Eukaryota; Metazoa; Chordata; Aves; Passeriformes; Paridae
Description: lncRNA (ENSCCEG00000011011.1)
Source: RNAcentral